Molecule: small nuclear RNA, 107 nt
Filed under: Schistocerca americana (American grasshopper)
Lineage: Eukaryota; Metazoa; Arthropoda; Insecta; Orthoptera; Acrididae
Source: RNAcentral
GUACUUGCUUCGGCAGUACAUAUACUAAAAUUGGAACGAUACAGAGAAGAUUAGCAUGGCCCCUCCACAAGGAUGGCACGCAAAAUCGUGAAGCGUUCCACAUUUUC